RNAcentral lists this ribosomal RNA (257 nucleotides) under Escherichia coli. Its description in RNAcentral is "partial 23S ribosomal RNA". It matches the Rfam family "Bacterial large subunit ribosomal RNA", at positions 2111 to 2367 of the family's 2925-position model. Lineage: Bacteria; Pseudomonadati; Pseudomonadota; Gammaproteobacteria; Enterobacterales; Enterobacteriaceae. The record is from RNAcentral.
UUGACACUGAACAUUGAGCCUUGAUGUGUAGGAUAGGUGGGAGGCUUUGAAGUGUGGACGCCAGUCUGCAUGGAGCCGACCUUGAAAUACCACCCUUUAAUGUUUGAUGUUCUAACGUUGGCCCCUGAUCGGGGUUGCGGACAGUGUCUGGUGGGUAGUUUGACUGGGGCGGUCUCCUCCUAAAGAGUAACGGAGGAGCACGAAGGUUGGCUAAUCCUGGUCGGACAUCAGGAGGUUAGUGCAAUGGCAUAAGCCAG